UUAAGUAGAAAAGAGCGCACGGAGGAUGCCUUGGCACUAGGAGCCGAAGAAGGACGUGACAAACGACGAAACGCUACGGGGAGCUGUAAGUAAGCAAAGAUCCGUAGAUAUCCGAAUGGGGGAACCCACCGCUUUUAAAAGGGCGGUACGCGAAAGCGAGGUAACGCAGGGAACUGAAACAUCUAAGUACCUGUAGGAAGAGAAAGAAAAAUCGAUUUCCUAAGUAGCGGCGAGCGAAAGGGAAAGAGCCCAAACCAAUGUGCUUGCAUAUUGGGGUUGUAGGACUCUCAAUAAAACGUAUUACAAAGUAUAGUAGAACGAGCUGGAAAGUUAGACCGUAGAAGGUAAAAGUCCUGUAUACGAAAUGCUGAGUUGGCGUGAGAGAGUACCUGAGUACGGCGGAACACGAGGAAUUCCGUCGGAAUCUACCAGGACCAUCUGGUAAGGCUAAAUACUACCUAGUGACCGAUAGUGAACCAGUACCGUGAGGGAAAGGUGAAAAGAACCCCGGGAGGGGAGUGAAAGAGAACCUGAAACCGUGUGCUUACAAGUAGUCAGAGCCCUUUAGGGGGUGAUGGCGUGCCUUUUGUAGAAUGAACCGGCGAGUUACUUUAUCAUGCGAGGUUAAGUGGAAGACAUGGAGCCGAAGCGAAAGCGAGUCUUAAUAGGGCGAAAUAGUAUGAUGGAGUAGACCCGAAACCAAGUGAUCUACCCAUGGCCAGGUUGAAGUUUAGGUAACACUGAAUGGAGGACCGAACCAGGACACGUUGAAAAGUGUUUGGAUGAGCUGUGGGUAGCGGAGAAAUUCCAAUCGAACUUGGAAAUAGCUGGUUCUCUCCGAAAUAGCUUUAGGGCUAGCCUCGUUGUGAGUUUACUGGAGGUAGAGCACUGUUUGGACUAGGGGCCCAUCCCGGGUUACCGAAUUCAGACAAACUCCGAAUGCCAGAUAAAUAUCAACGGGAGUCAGACUGCGGGUGAUAAGGUUCGUAGUCGAAAGGGAAACAGCCCAGACCGCCAGCUAAGGUCCCAAAUUGUAUGUUAAGUGGAAAAGGAUGUGAUGAUGCACAGACAACCAGGAUGUUGGCUUAGAAGCAGCCACCAUUUAAAGAGUGCGUAAUAGCUCACUGGUCGAGUGACAUCGCGCCGAAAAUGUACCGGGGCUAAACAUACAACCGAAGCUGCGGAUAUAACUAAUGUUAUAUGGUAGGAGAGCGUUCUAACAUCAUAGAAGCCGAACUGGAAGGUGAGGUGGAGAGGUUAGAAGUGAGAAUGCCGGUGUGAGUAGCGAAAGAUAGGUGAGAAUCCUAUCCACCGAAAGACUAAGGUUUCCAGAGGAAGGCUCGUCCGCUCUGGGUAAGUCGGGACCUAAGGUGAAGCCGAUAGGUGAAGCCGAUGGACAACAGGUAGAAAUUCCUGUACCACCGAAUAUCGAUUGAGAGAAGUGGGGACAGAGGAGGCUAAUUGAUCGCCCUGAUGGAAUAGGGCGUCUAAGCACAAAGACUGACAAGUAGGCAAAUCCGCUUGUUGUAAAGGUUGAAGUGUGAUGGGGAGCGAAAUAUAGUAGCGAAGUCAAUGAAGCCAAACUCUCAAGAAAAGCCGCUAUCGAGAUAAGAGGUGCCCGUACCGCAAACCGACACAGGUAGUUGGGAAGAGAAUUCUAAGGUGAGCGAGAGAACCAUCGUUAAGGAACUCGGCAAAAUGACCCCGUAACUUCGGGAGAAGGGGUGCCUACGAGAGUAGGCCGCAGUGAAUAGGCCCAAGCGACUGUUUAUCAAAAACACAGGUCUCUGCAAAACCGAAAGGUGAAGUAUAGGGGCUGACGCCUGCCCGGUGCUGGAAGGUUAAGAGGAGUGCUUAGCGCAAGCGAAGGUAUGAAUUGAAGCCCCAGUAAACGGCGGCCGUAACUAUAACGGUCCUAAGGUAGCGAAAUUCCUUGUCGGGUAAGUUCCGACCCGCACGAAAGGCGUAAUGAUUUGGGCACUGUCUCAACGAGAGACUCGGUGAAAUUUUAGUACCUGUGAAGAUGCAGGUUACCCGCGACAGGACGGAAAGACCCCAUGGAGCUUUACUGUAGCUUGAUAUUGAAUUUUGAUGCAGUAUGUACAGGAUAGGUAGGAGCCUAAGAAUCAUGCACGCCAGUGUAUGAGGAGGCGUUGUUGGGAUACUACCCUUGCUGUAUUGAAAUUCUAACCCUCGGCAUAGAAAACCGGGAGACAGUGUCAGGUGGGCAGUUUGACUGGGGCGGUCGCCUCCUAAAGAGUAACGGA
This 2267-nucleotide ribosomal RNA is filed under the name human metagenome. RNAcentral's name for it is "bacterial LSU rRNA". It matches the Rfam family "Bacterial large subunit ribosomal RNA", at positions 1 to 2304 of the family's 2925-position model. The record is from RNAcentral.